AUUGAACGCUGGCGGCAGGCCUAACACAUGCAAGUAGAGCGCGCGGCGGACGGGUGAGUAAUGUAUGGGAAUCUGCCCGAUAGAGGGGGAUAAAUACUGGCAACGGUUGCUAAUACCGCAUACUAUCGGAUGAACCCAUCUGGGAUUAGCUAGUAGGUGGGGUAAAGGCUCACCUAGGCGACGAUCUCUAGCUGGUCUGAGAGGAUGAUCAGCCACACUGGGACUGAGACACGGCCCAGACGCCUACGGGAGGCAGCAGUGGGGAAUAUUGCACAAUGGGCGCAAGCCUGAUGCAGCCAUGCCGCGUGUAUGAAGAAGGCCUUAGGGUUGUAAAGUACUUUCAGCGGGGAGGCGUUACCCGCAGAAGAAGCACCGGCUAACUCCGUGCCAGCCGCAGCGGUAAUAC
RNAcentral lists this ribosomal RNA (406 nucleotides) under uncultured bacterium. RNAcentral's name for it is "partial 16S ribosomal RNA". It matches the Rfam family "Bacterial small subunit ribosomal RNA", at positions 30 to 526 of the family's 1533-position model. The record is from RNAcentral.